This 492-nucleotide ribosomal RNA is filed under the name uncultured bacterium. Its description in RNAcentral is "partial 16S ribosomal RNA". It matches the Rfam family "Bacterial small subunit ribosomal RNA", at positions 29 to 507 of the family's 1533-position model. The record is from RNAcentral.
AGUGAACGCUGGCGGUAGGCCUAACACAUGCAAGUCGAACGGCAGCACAGUAAGAGCUUGCUCUUACGGGUGGCGAGUGGCGGACGGGUGAGGAAUACAUCGGAAUCUACUUUUUCGUGGGGGAUAACGUAGGGAAACUUACGCUAAUACCGCAUACGACCUACGGGUGAAAGCAGGGGAUCUUCGGACCUUGCGCGAUUGAAUGAGCCGAUGUCGGAUUAGCUAGUUGGCGGGGUAAAGGCCCACCAAGGCGACGAUCCGUAGCUGGUCUGAGAGGAUGAGCAGCCACACUGGAACUGAGACACGGUCCAGACUCCUACGGGAGGCAGCAGUGGGGAAUAUUGGACAAUGGGCGCAAGCCUGAUCCAACCAUACCGCGUGGGUGAAGAAGGCCUUCGGGUUGUAAAGCCCUUUUGUUGGGAAAGAAAAGCAGCAGGUUAAUACCCCGCUGUUCUGACGGUACCCAAAGAAUAAGCACCGGCUAACUUCGUG